UCCGGGUUGGACCCGGCGGUCCCGCCAGACAUGGUAACUGGCAGCGAGGGUUGCGCUCGUUGCGGGACUUAACCCAACACCUCACGACACGAGCUGACGACAGCCAUGCAGCACCUGUGCACGAUCUCCGAAGAGGGGCUCUCGUUUCUGAGAGCUUGCUCGUGCAUGUCAAACCCAGGUAAGGUUCUUCGCGUUGCCUCGAAUUAAACCACACGCUCCACCGCUUGUGCGGGCCCCCGUCAAUUUCUUUGAGUUUUAACCUUGCGGCCGUACUCCCCAGGCGGAGAGCUUAAUGCGUUAGCUGCGUCACCGACACGCAUGCGUGCCGACAACUAGCUCUCAUCGUUUACAGCGUGGACUAC
Molecule: unclassified non-coding RNA, 362 nt
Filed under: uncultured bacterium
Lineage: Bacteria
Description: contains 16S-23S intergenic spacer region
Source: RNAcentral